Molecule: ribosomal RNA, 492 nt
Filed under: uncultured bacterium
Lineage: Bacteria
Description: partial 16S ribosomal RNA
Rfam family: Bacterial small subunit ribosomal RNA
Source: RNAcentral
AGUGAACGCUGGCGGUAGGCCUAACACAUGCCAGUCGAACGGCAGCACAGUAGGAGCUUGCUCUUACGGGUGGCGAGUGGCGGACGGGUGAGGAAUACAUCGGAAUCUACUUUUUCGUGGGGGAUAACGUAGGGAAACUUACGCUAAUACCGCAUACGACCUACGGGUGAAAGCAGGGGAUCUUCGGACCUUGCGCGAUUGAAUGAGCCGAUGUCGGAUUAGCUAGUUGGCGGGGUAAAGGCCCACCAAGGCGACGAUCCGUAGCUGGUCUGAGAGGAUGAUCAGCCACACUGGAACUGAGACACGGUCCAGACUCCUACGGGAGGCAGCAGUGGGGAAUAUUGGACAAUGGGCGCAAGCCUGAUCCAGCCAUACCGCGUGAGUGAAGAAGGCCUUCGGGUUGUAAAGCCCUAUUGUUGGGAAAGAAAAGCAGCAGAUUAAUACCCCGCUGUUCUGACGGUACCCAAAGAAUAAGCACCGGCUAACUUCGUG